Molecule: long non-coding RNA, 150 nt
Organism: Oreochromis aureus
Lineage: Eukaryota; Metazoa; Chordata; Actinopteri; Cichliformes; Cichlidae
Exons: 3
Source: RefSeq, a predicted model, not a curated record
UUAACAUCUGAAGGGUCACAUGGGGCCAGAGGAGUCCAUCGGAGCUCAGGGCGAGGGGCAGGGUACAGCCUGGACAGGUCAUCAGUCUCUGGCAGGGAGGAAGGAGAUUGUCGAGAUGGAGACUGCGGUCUCUGAAAUCCAGGAGACAUG